RNAcentral lists this long non-coding RNA (714 nucleotides) under Rattus norvegicus (Norway rat). RNAcentral's name for it is "long non-coding RNA NONRATT029176". The record is from RNAcentral. Lineage: Eukaryota; Metazoa; Chordata; Mammalia; Rodentia; Muridae.
CUCUCAGACACACGAGGAAUAGUUUGUGAGAAACUGUAGCAUUCAAGAGAAAAGUAUUUCAGAUCGUUGGGGUUAGUGUUCAGAGGGGCUGCAGAGAUGGCUCAGUGGUUAAGGUCCUUACUGCUCUUAGAAGAUCAGGGUUUGAUUCCCAACACCCACAUUGUGGCUUACAAACUCCUGGCACUCCAGCUUUAGGGGAUUGGACCCUCUUCUGGCCUCCUCAAGCACCAGACAUGUAGUACACAGGCAUGCAGGAAGUCACACACAUAAAAUUAAAUUACAUUAAGAUAUUUUGGAAAGAAAAUUGAGUCCCAGAAGAUGGGAACUAGAUAGUGUCAGGAUGGGUAAGGGAGUUAGAUGCCACAGUCUUGAAUUUGAUCACCUAGGUAGGGCUUUUCCUCCCUAGUGUUGUCUAGAUAGAGGCUAGUACAGGCUCUAGUGCAGGUCUGAGGGAGAGCUAGAGAUGUGCACGUCUAUACAUACGUUAUACAUACAUUAUACAUACAUUGUGUGUCACAGCAGUAGCCCUAGAGAACCUCAGGACUCCAUUCUCUGCCUAGUGACUUGGGAGUGCUAGCUUUCUCUCCCAGGACCUCUCUGUUUAGGUGCCAACCUGACCUCUCUGACUAAAGAAGCAACCAGGAGUUGGUCUUAUCUGUUUACUCUCUGACUUGACACUCUUCAAUAAUAAAUAUUUUUAUUCUUUUAAAUAUA